RNAcentral lists this ribosomal RNA (1336 nucleotides) under metagenome. Its description in RNAcentral is "bacterial LSU rRNA". It matches the Rfam family "Bacterial large subunit ribosomal RNA", at positions 1565 to 2925 of the family's 2925-position model. The record is from RNAcentral.
GUACGAAAGACACUACGGUGUCAAAAGUGAUUUAUGUCAUACUUCCUAGAAAAACUUUAGUAAUGUGUAAUAAGAGACACCUGUACCUUAAACUGGCACAGGUAGGUUAGUAGAGAAUACUAAGGGGCGCGAGAUAACUCUUUCUAAGGAACUCGGCAAAAUAACUCUGUAACUUCGGGAGAAAGAGUGCCUCAUUUUAGAGGUCGCAGUGAUCAGAUCCAAGCGGCUGUUUACCAAAAACACAGGUCUCCGCUAAGUUGAAAAACUAUGUAUGGGGGCUGACGCCUGCCCAGUGCCAGAAGGUUAAAGAAAUUGGUUAGCAUUUGCGAAGCUGGUGACUGAAGCCCUGGUAAACGGCAGCUGUAACUAUAACAGUUCCAAGGUAGCGAAAUUCCUUGUCGGGUAAGUUCCGACCUGCACGAAAGGCGUAACGAUUUGGAUACUGUCUCGGAAAGAGACUCGGUGAAAUAGAAUUGACUGUGAAGAUGCGGUCUACUUGCACUUGGACAGAAAGACCCUAUGAAGCUUUACUGUAACCAGAAAUUGGUUUUGGACUUUCCUUGCGCAGUAUAGGUGGGAGGCUAUGAUCUUAUUUUUCGGAAGAAAGUGAGCCAUAAUAUGAGAUACCACUCUGGGAAAGUUAGGAAUCUAAUGGCAUUUUUUUAUCAAGAUACUUGACAGUUUCAGGCGGGCAGUUUUACUGGGGCGGUAGCCUCCUAAAAAGUAACGGAGGCGUACAAAGGUUUUCUCAAUCUGGACGGAAAUUAGUUGUAGAGUGUAAAGAUAUAAGAAAGCUUGACUGUGAGACUAACAAGUCGAGCAGAGACUAAAGUCGGUCUUAGUGAUCCGACGGUGCUGUGUGGAAAGGCCGUCGCUUAACGGAUAAGAGUUACUCUAGGGAUAACAGGCUGAUCUCCCCCAAGAGUUCACAUCGACGGGGAGGUUUGGCACCUCGAUGUCGGCUCAUCGCAACCUGGGGCGGUAGUACGUCCCAAGGGUUGGGCUGUUCGCCCAUUAAAGCGGUACGUGAGCUGGGUUCAGAACGUCGAGAGACAGUUCGGUCCAUAUCCGGUGUGAGUGUUAGAGUAUUGAAAGGAGCUUUCCUUAGUACGAGAGGACCGGGAAGGACACACCACUGGUGUACCAGUUUUUGUGCCAACAGAAGACGCUGGGUAGUCGAGUGUGGAGUGGAUAACUGCUGAAAGCAUAUAAGUGGGAAGCCCACCUUAAAAUGAGUACUCUUUUUUAGAUCACGAUUAGAUGAAUCGUUUUAUAGGCAUCGGGUGUAAGGUUGGUAACGAUUUUAGCUGAGAUGUACUAAUAGAUCGAAAGUUUU